CACCAGCGCCACAAGUGGGAGUCGCUAUUAUUGGGCCUAAAGCGUCCGUAGCCUGUUUGUUAAAUCUCUUGUGAAAUCGCCGGGCUAAACUCGGCGGCGUGCAGGAGACACUGGCAAGCUAGGAACCGGGAGGGGUCAGGAGUAUUCUGGGGGGAGCGGUAAAAUGCAAUAAUCCUCAGAGGACUACCUGUGGCGAAGGCGCCUGACCAGAACGGAUUCGACGGUGAGGGACGAAAGCUAGGGGA
Molecule: ribosomal RNA, 245 nt
Filed under: uncultured archaeon
Lineage: Archaea
Description: partial 16S ribosomal RNA
Rfam family: Archaeal small subunit ribosomal RNA
Source: RNAcentral